AUGCAUGGGGGUCUUGUGUGCAAUGGCUGCAAACAGCAGCCUUCUGGGUACUGUAAUGAACCUAUUGCCUGAAUAGAUUAACCUAAGGGACCUUGGAGACAGCC
RNAcentral lists this small nucleolar RNA (104 nucleotides) under Catagonus wagneri (Chacoan peccary). RNAcentral describes it as "Small nucleolar RNA SNORA70 (ENSCWAG00000017267.1)". It matches the Rfam family "Small nucleolar RNA SNORA70", at positions 32 to 135 of the family's 135-position model. From Rfam's summary of the family: snoRNA U70 seems to be exclusive to mammals and is a member of the H/ACA class of snoRNA which contain H (ANANNA) and ACA box motifs. H/ACA box snoRNAs are involved in the conversion of uridines to pseudouridines (5-ribosyluracil) a constituent of structural RNAs (transfer, ribosomal, small nuclear, and small nucleolar). The record is from Rfam by way of RNAcentral. Lineage: Eukaryota; Metazoa; Chordata; Mammalia; Artiodactyla; Tayassuidae.